GUGGGAUAUAAGAAGUGUGACUGCGUGCCUUUUGCAUAAUGAUCCGGCGAGUUACCGUAUGCGGCAAGGUUAAGUGUUUACGACACGGAGCCCAAGCGAAAGCGAGUGUGAAUAGCGCGACAAAGUCGUAUGUGGUAGACCCGAAAGCCAGUGAUCUAACCAUGGCCAGGGUGAAGCGGGUGUAAAAGCUCGUGGAGGCCCGAAUGCAC
RNAcentral lists this ribosomal RNA (209 nucleotides) under Vaucheria litorea. Its description in RNAcentral is "partial Bacterial large subunit ribosomal RNA". It matches the Rfam family "Bacterial large subunit ribosomal RNA", at positions 577 to 783 of the family's 2925-position model. The record is from RNAcentral. Lineage: Eukaryota; Xanthophyceae; Vaucheriales; Vaucheriaceae.